RNAcentral lists this ribosomal RNA (275 nucleotides) under uncultured Flavobacterium sp. RNAcentral describes it as "partial 16S ribosomal RNA". It matches the Rfam family "Bacterial small subunit ribosomal RNA", at positions 338 to 610 of the family's 1533-position model. Lineage: Bacteria; Pseudomonadati; Bacteroidota; Flavobacteriia; Flavobacteriales; Flavobacteriaceae. The record is from RNAcentral.
CCUACGGGUGGCUGCAGUGAGGAAUAUUGGACAAUGGGCGCAAGCCUGAUCCAGCCAUGCCGCGUGCAGGAUGACGGUCCUAUGGAUUGUAAACUGCUUUUGUACGGGAAGAAACACCGGUUCGUGAACCGGCUUGACGGUACCGUAAGAAUAAGGAUCGGCUAACUCCGUGCCAGCAGCCGCGGUAAUACGGAGGAUCCAAGCGUUAUCCGGAAUCAUUGGGUUUAAAGGGUCCGUAGGCGGUUUUAUAAGUCAGUGGUGAAAUCCGGCAGCUC